RNAcentral lists this ribosomal RNA (253 nucleotides) under uncultured bacterium. RNAcentral describes it as "partial 16S ribosomal RNA". It matches the Rfam family "Bacterial small subunit ribosomal RNA", at positions 524 to 776 of the family's 1533-position model. The record is from RNAcentral.
GACGAACCGUGCGAACGUUGUUCGGAAUCACUGGGCUUAAAGGGCGCGUAGGCGGGCUCGCCAGUCCGGGGUGAAAGCCCCCAGCUCAACUGGGGAAGUGCCUUGGAUACUGCGGGCCUGGAGGGAGGUAGGGGCGUGCGGAACUUCCGGUGGAGCGGUGAAAUGCGUAGAUAUCGGAAGGAACACCGGUGGCGAAAGCGGCGCGCUGGACCUCUUCUGACGCUGAGGCGCGAAAGCCAGGGGAGCAAACGGG